RNAcentral lists this transfer RNA (69 nucleotides) under Camelus bactrianus (Bactrian camel). It matches the Rfam family "tRNA". Rfam says of the family: Transfer RNA (tRNA) molecules are approximately 80 nucleotides in length. Their secondary structure includes four short double-helical elements and three loops (D, anti-codon, and T loops). Further hydrogen bonds mediate the characteristic L-shaped molecular structure. tRNAs have two regions of fundamental functional importance: the anti-codon, which is responsible for specific mRNA codon recognition, and the 3' end, to which the tRNAs corresponding amino acid is attached (by aminoacyl-tRNA synthetases). tRNAs cope with the degeneracy of the genetic code in two manners: having more than one tRNA (with a specific anti-codon) for a particular amino acid; and 'wobble' base-pairing, i.e. permitting non-standard base-pairing at the 3rd anti-codon position. Lineage: Eukaryota; Metazoa; Chordata; Mammalia; Artiodactyla; Camelidae. RNAcentral also lists the same sequence under 3 other names. The record is from Rfam by way of RNAcentral.
GGCAUAGCUCAGUGGUAGAGUGCAUGCUUAGCAUGCACGAGGUCAUGGGUUUGAUCCCCAGCACUGCCA